ACAGACAGUAAUGAAAAAUUAAACACCACACAUAAAAUUACACAAACAGUAAUGAAAAAUUAAACACCACACAUAAAAUUUAUCAAACUAGUUAAGAAAUACAUGGUGCAGCCAUGCAGUAUAAAUACAAUAGAAUCAUAGGGUAAUUUUCCAUAAAUAUCUUCAGAGUACCAAGAGCAAUUUGUCACAAAAUUAUAAAACAUGAUAAAAAAAAAAAAGAAUAGGUAGCAGACAAGCUAUUUGUUACUUUUUGUUUUGCUUCCAAGGCUUCCUCAGCUGCCUUCAUCUUGGCAACAGAAUCAUCUUCAUCAUCCCUGCUUAAGAAAACAAAGAACCUAUUGUUAAACAAUUUAGAACUUGAAAAAGAAAAGAACCAUGUUACUAGGACUUAGGUAUGAGAAAUACACAAAAAACAAACAAAUAGGUCUGUCUAUUUGUUUUGAAAAAAAAUACACAAAAUAUUUGAUAUAAUCUGCUCAAAAGAUAUUAAUCAUGUUACCUUUCAACCCCAAACAGCUUGAAAGAGUGAAGCAAAAAAAAAAAAUAAACAGAACCCCAUU
This 560-nucleotide long non-coding RNA is filed under the name Gossypium barbadense (sea-island cotton). Its description in RNAcentral is "long non-coding RNA (GBAR_LNC018642)". Lineage: Eukaryota; Viridiplantae; Streptophyta; Magnoliopsida; Malvales; Malvaceae. The record is from RNAcentral.